Long non-coding RNA from Nicotiana attenuata, 1777 nucleotides. RefSeq lists it as uncharacterized. The transcript has 4 exons. The record is from RefSeq and is a predicted model, not a curated record. Lineage: Eukaryota; Viridiplantae; Streptophyta; Magnoliopsida; Solanales; Solanaceae.
CUCUACUUCCCCUCUUUCUCUUCCUCUUCAACAGCCUUCCCCAUCAUUUACUCAAAACCCACCAAGAAAACUAUCUUCAACUCCAUCACCUAUAACUACCCUCAUUUCCAAGAAAUUUGAACAAGAACCCACCUCAGAAACACCCUCUGCAGCUCCAUGGAUCGAUACUCUUCGAUCCCAAGUACGCUUAAUCUGCUUCAAAGAUGCAAUCUUGGUGAUAAUUUUGUUUUCCCUGCAGUUCUGAAGGCUGCUACCGGCCUUCAGGACUUGAAUCUUGGAAAACAGAUACAUGGUUCUGUUGUUAAAUUGGGGUAUGAUACGAUAUCGUCCACCGUGGGAAAUUCGCUUAUCCAUUUGCUUGGGCAAUGUGGUGGUAGUGUUAAUGAUGUUUGUAAAGUGUUUGAUAGAAUUACCCAAGGAGAUCAAGUUUCUUGGAAUUCUUUAAUAUAUGCUCUUUGUAAAUUUGAGAAGUGGGAGUUAGCAUUGGAGGCUUUUAGGCUGAUGGAUUCGAGGCUAGUUCGUUUACGUUGGUGAGCGUGGCGCUUGCUUGUAGUAAUUUGCCUAGGACUGAUGGGUUGAGGCUUGGCAAGCAAGUUCACGGGUAUAGUUUGAGAAUAGAUGAUAGGAAAACAUUUACUAACAAUGCUUUGAUAUCUAUGUAUACCAAAUUAGGAAGGGUUGGUGACUCAAGAGCUGUUUUUUGAAUUGUUUGCAAACCGGGAUAUUGUUUCGUGGAAUACUAUUAUAAGUUCUUUUUCACAGAAUGACCAGCUUAAAGAGGCGUUGGACAACUUUAGUCUCAUGAUACAAGAAGAGAUAAAGCCUGAUGGAUUCACGAUUUCAAGGGUUCUUCCUGCGUCUUCUCAUUUGGCUUUGCUGGAUGUUGGGAAGCAGAUUCAUUGUUAUGUCUUGAAGAAUGAUGAUAUGAUUGGGAAUCCAUUUGUUGCUAGUGCAUUGGUUGACAUGUAUUGCAAUUGUCGACAGGUUGAAAGUGGGCGUGAAGCAUUGGGCUUUGGAAUGCUAUGCUCGCUGGCUUCACACAAAAUGGAUUCUUUAAGGAGGCAUUGCUGUUAUUUACUGAGAUGUUGGAAUUCUCUGGGAUAAGUCCUAACCCGACUACUAUGGCAAGUGUUUUGCCUGCCUGUGCACAUUAUGAAGCAUUUACCCUUAAAGAAGUCAUACAUGGGUGCUCUCCAGUCCAGGGCGAUUUAAUAGUAAUGUUAUAUGCCUAAAAUAUCUCUGGUGUAAAAACCAUGUUCUGAAAUUGCAUUAUAUCAGUAAUACCGGCAUUCGAGGAAGCUAUUACUGGCAUGGCAGUUGGUGGUAUCAGAAGGAUCAUAGUUCCUCCGGAGCUGGGAUACCCUGAUAAUGACUACAACAAGAAAGGUCCAAGACCAACGACAUUUUCGGGACAAAGAGCUCUGGAUUUUGUGCUGAGGAACCAAGGAUUAAUUGAUAAGACUCUCCUGUUUGAUAUUGAGCUCCUCAAAAUCGUACCAAAAUGAAGUUCCUUGUUCAACGUUUACUACGACGCCCUGUUUAGCUGCAUCAGCAAGUUUAACUUCCACUUGGACAAAAGGAAUAUCAGCCUAAUGAACGACUGAAUCGUCCCUUAUAGAGACUUUACUGUCUUGUUUGAACGCAUUAAAUUGUCGAUAGAUUCAUUUUGAAAAUCAAUGUAAACAAUGAUGGGUCUACGUACUGUUGUUGUAACGAUGUAACGACAUCUCUUAUGUUCAAAAAUUUGACUAUUUCUUGUGAAAGUGAUAUUUCAGGA